CUUAGUAACUCUCCUAACCUAGCGCAGCCAGUCUCAAAGAAACCCCAUUCUCCAACCCCUUCCAGCCCCUCCCAGCCCCGCCUCCCAGUGCCUCCCAGCGCCUCCCAGUCUCGCCGAACCAGCGCCUCCUAGCCCUCUUCCAAUCCCGCUGAACCAGCGCCACCCAUCCCCUCCCAGCAGUGCCGAACCAUCCCCUCCCAGCAACGCUGAACCGGCGAAACCUACCCCUCCGAACACCAGAUAUGGAGUCUCCAAGUCAGAGGGAUCAUUCAAAGAAGAGAUUGGAUAGCCAUCACUUUAAAUCCAAUGGUUUAUAUGGGCAACAUAAUGAGCAGAAGCCAAAGACGAUGAAGCAAACUUGAUAACAGUUUUGACAAUAUUGCUCAGUGACUAAUAUUAU
Molecule: long non-coding RNA, 400 nt
Organism: Arachis duranensis
Lineage: Eukaryota; Viridiplantae; Streptophyta; Magnoliopsida; Fabales; Fabaceae
Exons: 3
Source: RefSeq, a predicted model, not a curated record